This 6924-nucleotide long non-coding RNA is filed under the name Nilaparvata lugens (brown planthopper). RNAcentral's name for it is "uncharacterized LOC111047446". Lineage: Eukaryota; Metazoa; Arthropoda; Insecta; Hemiptera; Delphacidae. The record is from RNAcentral.
AUAGGUCCACAGUUCAUUGGAUGAAAAGAGAUAAUGAUAAAAAUAAAACUAUAUGAGAUUGACUUAUUAACAAAAAUAUUAUAAUUCGGCUCUGUUUAAUAAAUGCAGAAUGCGAAUUGUUGAUAAAAUCCUAUGAAUAUAUGGAUUGAUAUUGUGAUGCUUUUCCAUGAUUGAAAAAUAGUUAUUUGUACAAAUAGUGCUCAAAGUGACACUUUGCUGCACCGAAAAAACUAAAUAAUUUCUUGAGUGCAGCAAAGGAACUUUGCGCACUUGUAACACUUUAAAUUAUUCCUACAGUUACCAUUGAAUGUGAAAAGUGAGUGAUUGGGGGUUAAAAUGUCCUGAAAUUCAUCAAAUAUUUUUCUGUGUAAUUUUGUAAUUAAUCAAGAAAUCUAUAAUUCAAUUACAAAUUUAUAAUCACUCAUCUACCAUAUCGUCAUAAAAGGCGAUUGGGCGGGCGAAGCCCACCUCCCAGCCGGAGCUUGAAGCGCGGAGGCUGCUAACUCACCCAACUGGGGGUGCAGGGGGCGAAGCCCCCUGCCGAUCGCGCAGUUAAUUAGAAUAAUGAAUAAUUAAUUAUAUUUAAAAUAUAUUAUAAUUGAAUUAAUUUUCAAUAUAUUUAUAAAUUAAGUAUAAUAUGUUUAAUAUAAGUAUUAAUUGAUAAUUAUUUUAUAAUCUAACUUACUACAUUUUCCAAUAUAAACCAUUCAUUGACCAAUUUUAAAUAUUCAUUUUGUCGAAAUUACAUGGAUAAUCUUCAUUGAAUUUGAAAAUUCUCAGCAAAAAAAAGACUAUUGUUGGAAUCGAACCCCCAACCACAUCAACCUUAUCAACCUUUCCAUCACCAUUACAGUACUGUCCCAACUGAGCCACUGAGAACUCUAAUGAUAGAAUGAUUGAUGGGGGUUCUAUCUUAUGUAACAUUGAAAUGAUUACAACAGUCAGUGUUGCCAACUUAAUUUCGGUUUUCGCGCACUGGUCUUCUAUAUAAUAUAACCUACUAACUAUUCUUUGUUGUCAUGUUGCAAAUCUGGAGUACGCAAAGCAGCACUAUGCACACUAGUGUGGAAAAGUGAUUCUUUGUGUUCUGUAAUCAGUGCAACAAAUGUAAUUUUUCAAUGUAACUCUGUAGGAAAAACCAUUCAAAUUUGAUAAAAAUGUGAAAGUAUUAAAAUCAAGACACGUUUUUCAAUUGCAAAUUAUUUAUUCCAUGUUUUUAGUACCUAAAUUUAUUAAUUUUAAAAAUUGUCACCCAUUUAAAAAAUUCCAGAAAACUUGUAUAAUUCCAUUCUUUUAUUUCACAUUUUUAUUGUUGUUGUUUAAAAUAACUAAAUCUAUUUAUUGAAAAAAAUCAACAUAAACUUAUGGUAGUUCAUUUUGAUUGCACCUUACUGUUUUGCAAAAUAUAAGAUAAGUAUUUAUGCUGUCUUUUCUACUUUUAUUGUCUUAAUUUCACAAAAUCCUAAUCGGAUUUUGAAUCGACGGAUUUUCAUGGCAUUCGCUUCAGUUGAGCUUAGAUUGAGCCUAAUACACAAGGCUAACAAUAUAAAUAUAAUUAUUAAUGUAACUUAUUUAUUUUAUUAUCAUUACAUUAUUUCGGUUUUACAAAGACAAGGUAUUGCUACGACAAUUUUGUUUCCAUAAGUGAUAGUUGCUGAAAAUCCUAUAAUGUAUAUUUUGUUUGUUUCUCAAGAGUAUUUUAAAAAAACGUAUAUCCAUACAUCCACGAUGAUAGACCUAUAUUAUCUACACGUGAGUAUAACAUAAAAAUAAUCGUGCUGAAUCAAUCAAAUUGUUACAUUUCUAUUCCAUUUACUUUCUUUCAUGUUUGAUUUUAACUAUUAGUCUGUAUUACCUACCUGUCUUUUCUUUUUCUACAUCUUCAACCCAAUAGCUCAAGAUUACCUCUUUCCAAAUACUUCAUUCCAUAUUUUGAAAACAUUCGUUCCAACUACUUUCAUUAUACACAUAAUUUCAAACUUGUAGAAAUUCUCCAUAAAUCUAUUUAUUAUCAUAGCAUUCCUUUCAUUUAUUGGCCUUUACUGUUUGAAAAACCUGCUGUAAUAAAACACCUAUUAAAAUUCAUCUAACCAUUAUGUAACAAUGCUCUAUUCAAUGAAGACAUCAAUGACAGUUUGAAAUUUUAGUUUUAUAUGACAGUACUGUAAUUGAAAUUUUAAUUUCUAGGUGGAUAUAUUUGUCAAGCUUGUGGAAGACGCUACACUUGGCCGGAUAAUCUUAAACGUCAUCAAAGACUGGAGUGUGGAAAAGAGCCUAAAUUCUUCUGCCAUAUAUGUCCUUACAAGACAAAGCAUAGAACAAGCCUCAGGGCACACGUCAUAAGAAAGCAUACUCCCGCAUUAACAAGUCUGCAAUACAACUCACCUGAUGGAAACAAAGAAAAAAUGUGGAUAUGCGUGUGAUAUAUGUGGAAAACGCUACAAUUGGCCAGGAGGUUUGAAACGUCAUCAAAGCUUUGAAUGUGGAAAAGAGCCUCAAUUCAGCUGUCACUUAUGCCCUUAUAAGGCUAAGCAGAGCACCAACCUCAAAGGACAUAUCAUAAGGAUACAUAAUAUAUUCGAAUUUGAGCUAGAUAGACAUAGACCUCAUUUUACACAAAAACAGUAGAAGGAAUUAUACAGUAAUAAAAAUUGAUGUUGUUUUCCAUAACGAAAAAACACUAUAUAAAAACGUUGUUGUAGUUAAGACACUGUGUGGUGUGUAUCUUUCUAAAUAUUUGAAAACACUUUUUGUGAUGAGAUGAGGAAUGCAUUCCACUCCUGAGGAGGAGCUUCACCAGAGGCUAUGAAGCCUGAUGACGUUUCAUAUCUCAGCUUCAUAGCCUCUGGUGAAGCUCUUCCUCAGGAGUGGAAUCUAUUCCUCAUCUCAUCACAAAAAUUAAGUGUUUUUGAAUAUUUACAAAGAUACACAGUGUCUAAACUACAAGAAAGUUACCAAUAAAAAAAUAUUGAAUAUUGAAGAGUGAUAACCAACCAACUGCAAUUUUGGUCGAAAUGAGAUUUCGUUGCAAUAAAUGAAAAGGAAUGAUUAUUUUUUAUUUAAGCUUUACAAGCUGGAGAAAUGGGAAUGGCACCGUUCCUGAGAGAUAUUUAAUGUUUAACUCAUUGUUUUGUUGGAGAGAAUUUUAGUUGUUACUAUUGUGUCUUAAAUACAUCUUUAUUACAAUAUUGUACAUAUUAAAGUGACCUUAUGAAGACUAGCGCGCCUUCCUUGAGUUUUCUGUUACAUCCUAUUAGCCUAUAUCCCUCUCAAGAUCUAUUAAGAUUGAAAAAUCUCAUAGAUUUUUUCAUUGGUGACACAUCUCUUUAGUUGGGUAAAUUGUAUAUGGUAUCUAAUCAAAUACUUACAAAUGAUACUUUUCAGAAAUUGAAUUGAAUUCGACGAUUUUUCUAAAUACAAAAUACAAGGAAAUUUUUUCAAAGUGCUGCAUAAUAUGUUUCCUUAUUAAAACCUUUAUUGAAAUUUCUAUCCAGCUGGAAAAUGAUUAACCACACCCUUCUGAAUAUUGAGUGUGUUUGAGAUCGAUCAAGCUAUCAAGAUUUUCAAUGACUAAUAGGUUUGAUAAUUUUGUCCGUACUUUCUUAUUAUUUGUUGAAGUUUCAUGAAUCAUGACUCACUCCAUCCUUCUUCGCCUAUCACAGUUUUUUUUUUAAAGUUUUAUAACAUUCAAUUCAAUUCUUACUUCCUCUUUCCAUUCAGCUCCAUUCCCUUAAUCCAUAAAGUUGACUUCAGAUAGAUUUGGGGUGAAAAUAUAGUGGAGAUAGCGAUGGUAGAUCUUUAAGAUUGACAGUGAUGAAUGUAAUGCAUGUAAUGCAUUUUAAUGGUGGCCACAUUACUCACUCCAUCCUUCUUCGCCCAUCACAGUUUUUUUUUCAAAAAAGUUUAAAAAUACUCAUCGAAUAGAUUGAAUAAUUCUGUAAUAAACUCGUGGCUGGAUUGAAAUAAAAUACCAAAAUACAGCAUCAGAGGAGUUAAUCUUCCGAUUGAAGAUUGACUUGGAGUGCAAUAUCAAAAAUAACUCAAAUGACAUUAUUCCAUAAGCAGAGUGGUGAGUGGAGAGUGGUAUAAGUGAAGUGGUAUAUGUUUUGACCGAUGCAUCCAACACUCAAAUUUGAAGCUACCACCACAGAAUACAGCAAGCAUUAUAGAGGUUUUCUCUGCUACCACCUUUGCCGCUUCACUAUGUUUUAACUCUUUUUUACUCUUCUUUCUGUUGGCACCUUCAGGGUAUACGAACGAGUAAGUCGCGGUGAAGAUCAAUGCAGAGUUGUACAAAUUAGAUUAACUCCAUUUUCACUUGUAGAAGUUUGCUUCUUAAACUCAUUUAUAUCAUCCUAUUUUCAUUCUCAGAUCAAUGUUUCUAAUCUCAUUGUUAUGGUUUCAGGUGAGAAUACAUGCAGAAUGUGUGGACGAAACUACAACUCCUUUCAUAACUUGAAACGCCACCAAAGACUUGAAUGCGGUAUAGAGCCAAAGUUUCAUUGUCACCUGUGUCCUUUCAAGGCCAAACGAAACAACAUUUUAAAAUUACAUGUCAUUAAGAAGCAUUCUGCUAUGGCUGAUAAGCUUUUGAAUUUUUAAUUCCAUUAGCCAAAGAACCUACAACUCAAUAGUCUGUCGAUAACCUUAUUGAAACUUAAUCCUUAAGGUGCGUACAGAUUUACGCGCCGCGAACAUGAGCAAUUAUUCACUUUUAAUCAGCGGAUGCCAAGCUUUUCAUAUCUGUAUCUUACCGUUUCUGUAAAAAUACAGAUAUAAUCAGCUGAUUAAAAGUGAAUUGUUCAUGUUCGCGGCGCGUAUAUCUGUACGCAACUUAAUACAGUAAUCAUUUAUUCUUGAAAACAUGUCAUGAACAUCGUCAAUGUUGAAACCUUCGUUCUCGCUCGGCCAGAGCAGUCAUGUCACAGUCAGAGCAGUCAGUGGUUCGUGUCUGGUUUGCUGUGACGUCACCCUCACUUAUGAAUCUUUGUGAUUUACUAAAAAAUGUAAUUUGACUAUGUUUUUUUUGUAAAAAUUAAAUGACUAAUAACAUUAUAUUUCAUUCCAUUCUAUGUGUUAUUUAAUUUGAAAUGCCAUAGACCUAUGCUACCGUACUUUUAAGGGAAAUCGAAAUGAUAUGUAGCCUAAUAAACACAGAAAAUAGCUUGAUUGGGAAGUUAUUUUUUUCUGGAAUAGUAAUUGCGUACAACAUACAAAGUUAUUUCAUUACCGUAUUCCUCUUAUCUACUCAACUCUCCGCUGGAAAAUAAUUCAUUUUCAUCAACUAAAGAUGAUUUUAAUAGAAAAUUUAUAAUUUCUCUUCCUGAUUUUUAUUUUUGGUCUCUAUUUCAAUUUUCCUACUCACUACCGGAUCUAAGAUGUAAUAAUCAUUCAAGUAGCUUAAUUUUCUCAUCAUUAGCUCUUCUAUAAAACUCCUGCUGUCCUAUCCCAAAAAAUAAUAUAAUUAAUCAUUGACAUAAUGAUUUUCUCGUUCACAAAUAUGUAUUCCAAAUUGAUUUGAGUUGAAUUACAAAAAAAAAUCUAUUUUUGCAGGUAAAUAUGUUUGUGGUAACUGUGGAAAAUCAUAUAGGUGGCCUCAAACCUUGAAACGUCACCAGAGCUUCGAGUGUGGAAUGGAGCCUCAAUUUCAUUGCCACCUGUGUUCUUACAAAGCAAAACGUGAUACGAGUCUCAAGUUGCAUAUCCUGAAUUUACAUAGUCCCCUGCACACAGGGAAAAAAGUAGCGUCCACUAGUAGCCUCCAGUAGUGGCAGAAUGUCAUCAUAGAGACAUAGCAGCGUCCAAAGCCCUUCUACAGGGACAAUAGACGGCGUUCUAGUAGCCGCCAACUAAUUGCCAGGGAAACAAUACAUGUGCGUCGAUUGCGGCAGAAGCUAUGCGCAGUCGCACAACUUGAAGCGACACCAGCGACUGGAGUGUGGCAAGGAGCCACGCUACAACUGCAUGCAUUGUUCCUACAAGUCCAAGCACAAGACCAACCUCAAGGUGCACAUUGUUAGAAGACAUGGACAGAUGAUCAUUUACUGAAAUUGUUCCUACAAGACCGAGCGGAAGAACAAUCUCAAAGUGCACAAUGUCUUAAGGCAUGAACAGACCACUUCUUGAAGUCGAUUUGUGGCUCACUAAGUUUCGCCCAAGAAAAGUAUUAUUUAGUAUAAUAGGAAUGCAAUAGUUGUAUUGAAGUUAGAGAAUUAUUGUUUGAAGUGUAAGGCUUAUUGCUCCUACAAAUAAGAGCCACUACUAUAUAAACAUAGAUGAUCCAACCCACACAGCAGUGACGUAGACGUAGCAGCACGUCUCUUCUGUUUGCCUUGCACCAUGUUUUUAUAUGGCAGUGAUAAAAGUCCGUGAUAUAUGCCACUUCUGUGUCUAUUGAGCCCAACAGAAGUAUUAUAAUCAUAAUAGUAUCAUAAAAAUUCAAUAGUUGUAUAUUACUGUUGGGGAAUCAUUCCAAGUUUCGGUCUAUAGUGUCACAAACUUUAUAUUUCUUGAGUCAGGUAAAAAAAAAAAAAAUGUUUUUUUUUUUAAUCUGAAAUUUUAAUAUAAUUUUGAUUUAUCUGCAUUUAUACAGAAACAAAUAAGUGCUGAUUGAUCCACAUCUUACAAAUUGAAGUUUAUCAGGUUUGUUUUGAAUUUUUAAAAAAGUAACUCAUUCAAUAUAUAUUUAUUUAUUCAUUGAUUGUACAAUAUACUGUCAUCAUAAUAAUAUUAUGAUCAGGGAGAAAAAACUAGGCAAGUAAGUAGGUACCUUAAGUUAUAGCCUUUGUUAGUGAGAAUUUUAUUAUUGUAUUAAUUCUAUUAUUGAAAUAAUAAUUCCAAUUGAGUAUAAUUCAGGUGUGGCUAUUCCAGGAGAAGAGUCUAUUAACCUUUAUCAAAGAAUAUAAGUAUUCUUUUAUCAAUUUC